GAUCGUCUGCCCAACUCUCGCCAGGACUCAAGCACGCAUUUCAAACCUGAAUUCCUCCGAAGAAGAGUCUAAUCUAUUACAUCAGCAAUUCUUCCAAGCAAAACUUUAUAACUCCACAGUAACUUCAGGGAUAACAGUGACAUAAGUCAGCCCUUCGACGGCUCUUAAAACUAUCGUUCACGCGCUUUACAAGAACAAAGUCGUACAAUCCUAAUGUACAAAAACCCAAACAGCGGAAACAUAAAAAUACCCCAGCCAUAAGUCACCACGAGAGCCACACAUUUUCCAGCUUCAAGUGGUAACACAAAGGCGAAAGUACGCAAGCAGGAUUACAC
RNAcentral lists this long non-coding RNA (335 nucleotides) under Coffea arabica (coffee). Its description in RNAcentral is "long non-coding RNA (CARA_LNC005700)". Lineage: Eukaryota; Viridiplantae; Streptophyta; Magnoliopsida; Gentianales; Rubiaceae. The record is from RNAcentral.